CUUCGGCGUCACCUAAAGGGUUGGUCUAACCAGACUAUAAAUGAGCAAUCAUUUACCAGCUUUACAUUCUUCAUGAUCCUUCCAACCGACUUCUUCAAGAAAAGCAGCUUUUAUUACAAUUACAAAACAGGUCCUGGGGCAGGAGUUGAUCUGACAGACAGGUCUAUUGUUCUGAGAGUAACUGUAGGCCGGCAUACAGAUCUCUGCAUCAUACAGAAAGUACUGUGUAGUGUCUGGUUGACUCCUGCUCCAGGAACUACUCAAAAAAAAACAAAGCAUGAGCUCUUCACCUAAAGACUCUCGCGUUAUUCUACCAAGCGCUGAACACAUUUAUUUAAAAAACUCCAAAGAUCCUCCUGAUUUUCGAAAUUACAAAGUAGUUAUAUUUAAUAGGUAAGUUCACAUAUAGACACAUUUUGUAAGUGUGAGAAAGUAUGUAAAACAUUGUUUUUACAGGCAACUUUUCUUUUUUUUUCUUUUUUUUUACGUUUGA
This 493-nucleotide long non-coding RNA is filed under the name Sinocyclocheilus anshuiensis. RNAcentral's name for it is "lncRNA (ENSSANG00000009050.1)". Lineage: Eukaryota; Metazoa; Chordata; Actinopteri; Cypriniformes; Cyprinidae. The record is from RNAcentral.